AGGUUAAGCGGAAAACGUGGAGCCGAAGCGAAAGCGAGUCUUAAUAGGGCGCGAGUACGAUGCUAUAGACCCGAAACCAAGCGAUCUAUUCAUGAGCAGGUUGAAGUAAGGGUGAAACCUUAUGGAGGACCGAACCAACUUCUGAUGCAAUAGGAGUGGAUGACUUGUGAAUAGCGGAGAAAUUCCAGUCGAGCUUGGAAAUAGCUGGUUCUCCCCGAAAUAGGUUUAGGCCUAGCCUUCUAAUUAGCUACCUGGAGGUAAAGCACUGAAUAUGGAAGGGCCGCACCUAGCGGUACUAACUGUAAUCAAACUCUGAAUGCCAGGAUAGUAUGUAGAGGAGUCAGUGUAUGGGUGAUAACGUCCAUACGCGAAAGGAAAUGAAUCCAGACCGUCAGUUAAGGUCCCAAAAUUUAUGCUAAGUGGAAAACGAUGUGGAGCUGCUAGAACAGCUAGGAGGUUGGCUCAGAAGCAGCCACCCUUUAAAGAGUGCGUAAUAGCUCACUAGUCGAGUGGCUCUGCGCGGAAUAUGUACCGGGGCUAAGCAUAAUACCGAAACUGCGGAUUCGUAAUUUAUUACGGAUGGUAGGGGAGCGUUCUAUGGGCGCUGAAGGUAGACCGUGAGGACUACUGGAGCGCAUAGAAGUGAGAAUGCCGGUGUGAGUAACGUAAGGAGGGUGAGAAUCCCUCCCACCGAUCGACUAAGGUUUCCUGGGUAAAGUUCGUCUCCCCAGGGUAAGUCGGGACCUAAGGCGAGGCCGAAAGGCGUAGUCGAUGGACAACAGGUUUAUAUUCCUGUACCACCUAUAUGACUGAUGGAGUGACGGAGAAAGCUAAGCAGGGCCGGUUAUUGGAUUCCGGUCUAAGCACAAAGGUAGAUGAAAUAAGAAAAUCUGUUCAUUGUUAUGCUGAAGUGUGAUGGCGACGAAUUCCUCGGAAUUUUAAGUCUGCUGACGCUAUGCUUCCAAGAAAAGCUUCUAAAGAUAUUAUAUAGGUGCCCGUACCAAGAACCGACACAGGUGGUCAAGGAGAGAAUCCUAAGGUGAGCGAGAUAACUAUGGUUAAGGAACUCGGCAAAAUAACCCCGUAACUUCGGGAGAAGGGGAGGUUUCUUCGGAAACCCGCAGGAAAUAGGUCCAGGCAACUGUUUAGCAAAAACACAGGUCUCUGCUAAAGCGUAAGCUGAUGUAUAGGGGCUGACGCCUGCCCAGUGCUGGAAGGUUAAGAGGAGAUGUUAGCUGGACGUAAGUCAAUAACAGCAAAGCUUCGAAUUGAAGCCCCAGUGAACGGCGGCCGUAACUAUAACGGUCCUAAGGUAGCGAAAUUCCUUGUCAGGUAAGUUCUGACCCGCACGAAAGGCGUAAUGAUCUGGAUACUGUCUCAACCAUAGACUCGGUGAAAUCUUAAUACCUGUGAAAAUGCAGGUUACCCGCAACAGGACGGAAAGACCCCAUGGAGCUUUACUACAGUUUGAUAUUGAAAUCAGGUAUGUCAUGUAGAGGAUAGGUGGGAGACUUUGAUGCUAAGGCGCCAGCCUUAGAGUAGUCAACCUUGGAAUACCACCCUUGAUAUAUUUGAUUUCUAACCUGCUACCGUUAUCCGGUAGGGGGACAGUGUCUGAUGGGUAGUUUGACUGGGGCGGUCGCCUCCCAAAAUGUAACGGAGGCGCCCAAAGGUUCCCUCAGAAUGGUUGGAAAUCAUUCGAAGAGUGUAAUGGCAGAAGGGAGCUUAACUGCGAGACCUACAAGUCAAGCAGAUGCGAAAGCAGGGCAUAGUGAUCUUGCGAUUCAGUAUGGAAUGGUCGUUGCUUAACGGAUAAAAGUUACCCUGGGGAUAACAGGCUGAUCCCACCCAAUAGUUCAUAUAGACGGUGGGGAUUGGCACCUCGAUGUCGGCUCGUCGUAUCCUGGAGGUGUAGUCGCUUCCAAGGGUUGGGCUGUUCGCCCAUUAAAACGGCACGCGAGCUGGGUUCAGAACGUCGUGAGACAGUUCGGUCCCUAUCCGUUGUGGGCGCAGGAAAUUUGAGAGGAGCUGUCCUUAGUACGAGAGGACCGGGAUGGACGUACCUCUGGUGUACCGGUUGCAGACCAACUGCACAGCCGGGUAGCUAUGUAUGGAACGGAUAAACGCUGAAGGCAUCUAAGCGUGAAGCCGCCCUCAAGAUAAGAUUUCCCAUUCU
Molecule: ribosomal RNA, 2176 nt
Filed under: human gut metagenome
Description: bacterial LSU rRNA
Rfam family: Bacterial large subunit ribosomal RNA
Source: RNAcentral